GAUGAACGCUAGCUACAGGCUUAACACAUGCAAGUCGAGGGGUAACGAGAGGAAAGCUUGCUUUCCUUGUCGACGACCGGCGCACGGGUGAGUAACGCGUAUCCAACCUGCCCCCAACUAGGGAAUAACCUUGCGAAAGUAAGACUAAUACCCUAUAAUUUCCUCAGAUGUCAUCUGACGAGGAAUAAAGAUUUAUCGGUUGUGGAUGGGGAUGCGUCUGAUUAGCUUGUUGGCGGGGUAACGGCCCACCAAGGCAACGAUCAGUAGGGGUUCUGAGAGGAAGGUCCCCCACAUUGGAACUUAGACACGGUCCAAACUCCUAUGGGAGGCAGCAGUGAGGAAUAUUGGUCAAUGGGCGGAAGCCUGAACCAGCCAAGUAGCGUGCAGGAUGACGGCCCUAUGGGUUGUAAACUGCUUUUAUACAGGAAUAAAGUUAGCCACGUGUGGUUAUUUGUAGGUACUGUAUGAAUAAGGACCGGCUAAUUCCGUGCCAGCAGCAGCCGCCG
This 506-nucleotide ribosomal RNA is filed under the name uncultured bacterium. Its description in RNAcentral is "partial 16S ribosomal RNA". It matches the Rfam family "Bacterial small subunit ribosomal RNA", at positions 28 to 523 of the family's 1533-position model. The record is from RNAcentral.